UCAAGGCAGUUUCAAAUCUAAAAUGUUAGACAUCAGACAUGUUGUAAUUUUUAAAAUACUCUCCUCAUUUGGAGAUAGUGGCCCUAUCUAACGCCCUGCACAAGGCUUGUUGCAAUGCUCAUCGUACACCCCACCCCAUCAGUGUAUUUUCACUCCUUCCUCCUGUCUGGUUUAAACAGCAGCAGAUCUUCUGAAUAUAUCUACACUGAUGGGCGUGGUGUUCUGGAAAUGAGGUGUGUUCAGGUACAUUUCUGGAGUUUUAUCUUGUUUCUCUUGGAAACAGAAAACACAGGAGCUCCACUGACUGAAUACAUAAAUAUAAUAAAAUUAUUCUGUUCUAUUUCUAUUCUACAGAAGGUGAGGAGAUGCUCGCUGCUUCACUUCUUGGGAUCUUUGUUGGAUUCCUGCUGUUCCUGUAAAUAACCUGCAAACACGAGCAGGUCAGUUUCCUCUUUCCUCCAGGUAGCUGCGCCGUUAAAAUAGCGAUCCGCCAAAGUCAGAGCUCACCUGACUCUUAAAGAGAAUGAUGAGCAAGAGACACUCUGAUUGGUUUAUUUCACAUUCACAUUACGCCCAAAAUUAACCACACCCAUGAUUAAAUAACCCUUUCAGACCUGAAUUAUGAGAGCUUAUACAUGCAUUUUGUGUGUUUUGAGCCGCGCACAGGUGUACUUUUCCCGUUGUUACGAUAGCAAAGACACGCUGACGCCCUAAAUCAAUUAGAUCUCCUUCAGAAUGAACAUCUGUAAAAGCUGUAGAUACACACAUUACUCCAUACUGUCUCCUGGUGGUGGGUUAUUACUCCGGUUGAAGGUUAGCAGCGGUUCAGGUGUGUUUAAGCCAUGCAGCAGAAGAGCCAAGCGAGACAGACAGACAGACAGAACCACACAGAAAGCAGAACAGCAGAGUGACGGAGAGAACAGGACCACACCGGGACCGACUCACUUCUGUUCAAAAGUUUUAUUCCAGCAAACUCUUGUUUUAUCAGCUGUUCGUUUCUCCAAAAAAGGUACAAAAAAGAAAAUCUCAAAUACAGGAUUAGAAAUCAUCACAUCAACGAUAAACAUUAAACAAGACACAAUGUGCUUUAUUAUUCUAUCAGACUGUAUAUAAAUAUCAAGCAGAAUAUCAAUAUAUCGUCACUGUCACGCAAAAAUAAAAAAUACUUGUUUCUUUAAAUUUUUGCUACA
This 1190-nucleotide long non-coding RNA is filed under the name Astyanax mexicanus (Mexican tetra). RNAcentral describes it as "lncRNA (ENSAMXG00005006048.1)". The record is from RNAcentral. Lineage: Eukaryota; Metazoa; Chordata; Actinopteri; Characiformes; Acestrorhamphidae.